This 433-nucleotide ribosomal RNA is filed under the name uncultured bacterium. RNAcentral's name for it is "partial 16S ribosomal RNA". It matches the Rfam family "Bacterial small subunit ribosomal RNA", at positions 29 to 507 of the family's 1533-position model. The record is from RNAcentral.
AACGAACGCUGGCGGCAUGCCUAACACAUGCAAGUCGAACGAGACCUUCGGGUCUAGUGGCGCACGGGUGCGUAACGCGUGGGAAUCUACCCUCAGGUUCGGAAUAACUCAGAGAAAUUUGAGCUAAUACCGGAUGAUGACGUAAGUCCAAAGAUUUAUCGCCUGAGGAUGAGCCCGCGUAGGAUUAGGUAGUUGGUGAGGUAAAGGCUCACCAAGCCGACGAUCCUUAGCUGGUCUGAGAGGAUGAUCAGCCACACUGGGACUGAGACACGGCCCAGACUCCUACGGGAAGCAGCAGUGGGGAAUAUUGGACAAUGGGCGAAAGCCUGAUCCAGCAAUGCCGCGUGAGUGAUGAAGGCCUUAGGGUUGUAAAGCUCUUUUGCCCGGGAUGAUAAUGACAGUACCGGGAGAAUAAGCUCCGGCUAACUCCGUG